Molecule: ribosomal RNA, 390 nt
Filed under: uncultured bacterium
Lineage: Bacteria
Description: bacterial SSU rRNA
Rfam family: Bacterial small subunit ribosomal RNA
Source: RNAcentral
GUAUGGUGCAAGCGUUAUCCGGAUUUACUGGGUGUAAAGGGAGCGUAGACGGCUGUGUAAGUCUGAAGUGAAAGCCCGGGGCUCAACCCCGGGACUGCUUUGGAAACUAUGCAGCUAGAGUGUCGGAGAGGUAAGUGGAAUUCCCAGUGUAGCGGUGAAAUGCGUAGAUAUUGGGAGGAACACCAGUGGCGAAGGCGGCUUACUGGACGAUGACUGACGUUGAGGCUCGAAAGCGUGGGGAGCAAACAGGAUUAGAUACCCUGGUAGUCCACGCCGUAAACGAUGACUACUAGGUGUCGGGGAGCAAAGCUCUUCGGUGCCGCAGCAAACGCAAUAAGUAGUCCACCUGGGGAGUACGUUCGCAAGAAUGAAACUCAAAGGAAUUGACGG